Molecule: ribosomal RNA, 467 nt
Filed under: Salmonella enterica subsp. enterica serovar Infantis
Lineage: Bacteria; Pseudomonadati; Pseudomonadota; Gammaproteobacteria; Enterobacterales; Enterobacteriaceae
Also listed under: 4 other names
Description: partial 23S ribosomal RNA
Rfam family: Bacterial large subunit ribosomal RNA
Source: RNAcentral
GUGAUCUAGCCAUGGGCAGGUUGAAGGUUGGGUAACACUAACUGGAGGACCGAACCGACUAAUGUUGAAAAAUUAGCGGAUGACCUGUGGCUGGGGGUGAAAGGCCAAUCAAACCGGGAGAUAGCUGGUUCUCCCCGAAAGCUAUUUAGGUAGCGCCUCGUGAAUUCAUCUCCGGGGGUAGAGCACUGUUUCGGCUAGGGGGCCAUCCCGGCUUACCAACCCGAUGCAAACUGCGAAUACCGGAGAAUGUUAUCACGGGAGACACACGGCGGGUGCUAACGUCCGUCGUGAAGAGGGAAACAACCCAGACCGCCAGCUAAGGUCCCAAAGUCAUGGUUAAGUGGGAAACGAUGUGGGAAGGCCCAGACAGCCAGGAUGUUGGCUUAGAAGCAGCCAUCAUUUAAAGAAAGCGUAAUAGCUCACUGGUCGAGUCGGCCUGCGCGGAAGAUGUAACGGGGCUAAACCAU